ACCGGAUCUAGCCCGACGGGGCGAAAAGCGGAAAGCCUUACCGCCUGUUCCGGCCAUUAUUUAAGGC
Molecule: non-coding RNA, 67 nt
Filed under: unclassified sequences
Description: int-alpA RNA
Rfam family: int-alpA RNA
About the family: Acidobacteria (1 example), Planctomycetes (1 example), Proteobacteria. Environment (Lake Washington)
Source: Rfam by way of RNAcentral